AUUGAACGCUGGCGGCAGGCCUAACACAUGCAAGUCGAACGGUAACAGGAAGAAGCUUGCUUCUUUGCUGACGAGUGGCGGACGGGUGAGUAAUGUCUGGGAAACUGCCUGAUGGAGGGGGAUAACUACUGGAAACGGUAGCUAAUACCGCAUAACGUCGCAAGACCAAAGAGGGGGACCUUCGGGCCUCUUGCCAUCGGAUGUGCCCAGAUGGGAUUAGCUAGUAGGUGGGGUAACGGCUCACCUAGGCGACGAUCCCUAGCUGGUCGGAGAGGAUGACCGGCCACACUGGAACUGAGACACGGUCCAGACUCCUACGGGAGGCAGCAGUGGGGAAUAUUGCACAAUGGGGGCAAGCCUGAUGCAGCCAUGCCGCGUGUAUGAAGAAGGCCUUCGGGUUGUAAAGUACUUUCAGCGGGGAGGAAGGGAGUAAAGUUAAUACCUUUGCUCAUUGACGUUACCCGCAGAAGAAGCACCGGCUAACUCCGUG
Molecule: ribosomal RNA, 490 nt
Filed under: uncultured bacterium
Lineage: Bacteria
Description: partial 16S ribosomal RNA
Rfam family: Bacterial small subunit ribosomal RNA
Source: RNAcentral